Molecule: long non-coding RNA, 2962 nt
Organism: Bombus impatiens (common eastern bumble bee)
Lineage: Eukaryota; Metazoa; Arthropoda; Insecta; Hymenoptera; Apidae
Exons: 2
Source: RefSeq, a predicted model, not a curated record
UUGUCAUGAAUUCUUUAAUUUUUUCAUUUACCAAUUUACAAUUACUCACUAUUUUGUCAUAGACCAUGACCUACCUUAUGUUAAUAAUACUAAUGCUCUGUCUCCCACAGGAGGAAUACAAUAGCUCAAAAGUGUAUCCAAUCUUUCCCCGUUAUCCGAUCUUAAAGGACAUGAUAAAGGAUAUAAUGCAUAAUCCAGACUAUAUGGAAGUUUGUCACGAGGUGGACCAAGCAUAGCGGCCAGACCCCCUCCACCGCUCGCCACGUAUGACCUUGUAAAAAGGAUCUUAGCGUGGACGUUGGUGAAGGGGGUGUACCAGAAACAAGCCUGAGCAAGACUUUCACUUCUCCAUUCAUGCACGUUUCGUCUGAUGAUAUUCAGCCGGUACAUAUUUACAAGAAACUAUACAUCACCUUGUGUGUACGCUAAUUGGAAUCAUAUUUGUUAAUUGAAUGCCCGAAGAAAAUAUGCGUGAAUGCAAAGUAAAGAAAUAUGACAUUGAGUUGUGAGGGGAAAAGGAACAGAAGAUAGAUUUUAUAAAAAAAUAUAUAAUUAAACGAACAUUCCUUUGAAGAUUCUCCGUAUGUUGGAAUGAUGCUUCUAGUAUAGUAUUUUUCGUGGUAUUUUAUGGUAUCACGAGAGAUCUGCUACUUGGCGACAAUAAAUAACAAUACAAAUGCAGAAAUUAAUUUUUGUUGCAUUUUUAUUGAAUAAAGAGUUUUUAGAAUUAUAAAAUAACUUAUUAGUAUUUCAAGAGAGAAGAGGAUAAUUCAUCAAAAAUGAAAUUAUGUAAAAUUAUUUGCUUGUUGUGAUUCUAAAAUUUCGUCUUUUCGAUCUGAAAAAUAAGAUAAUUAUCAAAAGGAUUCUUUAAUGUGAAAAUUCAUCAAAAUAUAGAAAGAAAUAAAGAUAUAUUUCGACAGGAGCGCCAAGUACUACAAGAACAACUAAUUUCAACAUAGGGAAGAAAUAAAAUUGAUCAUCUUAGUUUCUGAUUACGAUCGGAAUAGCCGCUUGCACGUUGAAACACAAAAUACAAAAAUUACACCAGUACGUUUCAUACGUAAACGUUGUGUAAAGGUGGUGUAAAAUUUUUGUUAAGGCAGUUCAUAAUGGAGAAAAUCCUUAGAUUUAUAAGAUGUGUCCCCAUCGUCGAGUGUUGUGUAUCUUUGUAUGCAAAUUAUAUCGUAUGCGCGUGCAUGUGCUUAUCAAAAUAAACAAAUGAUUUAAGUGAUUAAGUGUAAAAUGCAACACUCUGCUUUCUGCUACUCGAUGGUCGUAAUAAGUGAUGCCGUCAUUAAGCACUGUCAACUUAAUAAGAGUUUGUUGAACAAAGGAGACCUCUCUUUACCUACGAACAGGACAAACGGUAGCAAUUUAGUAAGAUAAUAUAUUUAUUCUGCGUCAAAUAUCGCUUUGCGAAUGAUGACACUCUUUUUCGUAAUACAGAAACAUUUUGCUUCGACUACGGUGGGAACUAGAUAUUUAGGUAUAACAUCAUUAACUCAUUAAUAAUCGUUGUCGUACGCGAUGGUGUAACUGUAACCGAUGUAACACAGGAUGAUGUUGAUGGUGAUGUUGCACAGAGAAAAAUUUAUUGCAUCCAUUAUUUUAUGUUAUAAUUUUUUCUAUAGAGUUUAUUGAAGUUUAAUAUCGUACCAACUAUAAAAUUAUUAGCGGUACUACAGGAGGAUAUAUCGUAGUGCGAGAUAUUAAUUUGCACUAAUUUAUCAAGUAAUUUUGUAUCCUCGAUAGAUAUUAACAAACUUGAUUUCGCUUUAUUCGUGCAUAUUCAACACUUAAAUAGCGAUUUUUUAAAUCUCAUACUGGAAGUCAUUUGAAAAAGAAUAAGUCAUUAAAAGUUCAAUACAAAGGAUUUGUCUUUCACUUCUAUCAUGGUUCUAAAAUUUCUUCUCGUCUUUUUCUUUCGUAAAAUUUUAAAUUCUGCAGGAAUAAUCUUUUCUAUUUUAUGAAACAAAUGAUUCUAUACCUUUGUAUUUUGUUGUAUCUAUGCUUUAUUUAUCAAUUGUUUAGAUAUGUAACAUUAUACACAUAAAGUAUUUCUUAAACUCCUAAAAGAAAAAUGCCUAACAGAGUUAAAAUUUAUUUAUCUUGAACAUAUAAAAACAUAAUUUUUCCGUCUAGUGAAAGUGGAAAAAUUGCUAUCAAUAUCUUUACUUCGUGCAGAAAGCAGUUCACUUAUAAUAUCCUGUACGAACUUCUUUUCAUCAUCAGUUGAAAAACUACACGAUGUAUGUGCUGUAUUCACAUUCGACUCCAAUUGAAACGCAAUGACUGCUUUGUAUAUCUUGGUUGAAACAGUGCUAACCAUAGAUCAUACACAUUUACGUUAUUGUAUAAUAACGCAGAAAGAAAAGGAUGUAUUCUUUAAGAAAUUAAGGACGUUAAGAUUCUUGAAAAAAAGUAGAGUUAGAAAAAACGAGAAUAGCCGACGAAUUGCAUAAUGUUGAUGUGUGUAAGUAAAACUAUUAGUUUGCAAUUCAUGUAACUAGAUAUCCGAUGAAUGUGACGUAUGUUAAUAAGCAAGUAAAAUGUUACAAGGAAAUUGUGUGUUUGUAAUAGCGUUCCUUAAACGGACUGGCCCUUAUAGAUAACAUUUAAAGAAAAUGCUUUUGUGUAUGAACUGGUGUUCACUAGUACACGACUAACUAAUAGACAUCAUGCUAGAUUAGUUAAAAUGUAAUGUAUGCUAGAUGUUAUAGUGUUGUACUAGUGUUUACAUCUUCCUAUUUAUGCGUUCUGUGUUUCCUGGUGGAAAAUAGCGAGUAGUUACGUGUACAAGUAGUUUUAAAAACGAUCUUAGUCCAUUGAUUUGAACAGAAUUCUAUAGUACAUAUCGAAUGUACGAUUUUAAUUUCCCUGUAAUACAUCUUUGUUACCGCUAUAAAACUUCACUUGUUUAUUGGUUGUUAAGCUUUGUUAAUAAAAUACUAUAAAAUUUAAA